Molecule: ribosomal RNA, 513 nt
Filed under: Globodera rostochiensis
Lineage: Eukaryota; Metazoa; Nematoda; Chromadorea; Rhabditida; Heteroderidae
Description: SSU rRNA
Rfam family: Eukaryotic small subunit ribosomal RNA
Source: RNAcentral
AUGAGGAGGUAGUGACGAGAAAUAACGAGACCGAUCUCUUGGUACAAUUUAAACCCUUUAACGAGUAUCUAUGAGAGGGCAAGUCUGGUGCCAGCAGCCGCGGUAAUUCCAGCUCUCAAAAUGCAUAGAAUUAUUGCUGCGGUUAAAAAGCUCGUAGUUGGAUCUGUGCUAGCCGGCCGGUCCACCCACUGGGUGUGCACUGGUUCGGUUGGCUUUUCUGCCGGUCUUUCCCCGGCGUUGGCCUUCACCGGUCGGCGUCGGUGGGCUGGCGAGUUUACUUUGAACAAAUCAGAGUGCUUCAAACAGGCGUUUCGCUUGAAUGUUCGUGCAUGGAAUAAUAGAAGAGGAUUUCGGUCCGAUUUUAUUGGUUUUGCUGACCGAGAUAAUGGUUAACAGAGACAAACGGGGCCAUUCGUAUUGCUACGUGAGAGGUGAAAUUCUUGGACCGUAGCAAGACGGGCUACAGCGAAAGCAUUUGGCAAGAAUGUCUUCAUUAAUCAAGAACGAAAGUCA